UGGUAGGUGCUCAACCUGUGAUGGCAAC
This 28-nucleotide non-coding RNA is filed under the name Homo sapiens (human). Lineage: Eukaryota; Metazoa; Chordata; Mammalia; Primates; Hominidae. The record is from RNAcentral.